RNAcentral lists this long non-coding RNA (1035 nucleotides) under Mytilus galloprovincialis (Mediterranean mussel). The record is from RNAcentral. Lineage: Eukaryota; Metazoa; Mollusca; Bivalvia; Mytilida; Mytilidae.
AAAUAUUAAAAUUUCACUUUUUUGUUUCAAUUUUGAAGGUGUAAACAAUGCCUUUAUUAUACUUCUUGCAUUGUGAAACAAUAGAAACACAGGAUAGAUUAGAUAAUCUUCAUCGUAAAUUAAGGUGUAAUCACUAGCCAGUCAACACUGACGUUUUGAAUUCAUAUCCUGCUUGUGUGGGUGCACUGGACUCCAAUCUAAUUGACUAGAAUUGUCAGUUUUCCUAUCGAUAGUUGGUCGUUUUCUGUGGGCACUCUAGCGUCAUCCACCUAUAAAAACUGCCUGCCAUGAAAUAGUCCAAAUGUGGCAUUUAAAAGUAGUGUUAAAACACCAACAAUCGAUCAAUCUUAAAUUAAGGUCACAUGGUUUGUUUUUACCAACUUAACGGACUCAAUAUUAUUAUCCAGAAAAUUAUGAUUUAUUGUGUAAUUUCCUAACUUAUAAACCUAAAUAUAUAUCUCCCAAAACUUAUUUUAUAAAUGGCUUAACAUAUAUCUAGAUGUAUCAUAAAUUAUAUUGGUUUUUUUUUUUGCAUUUUUUAUAUAUUUAAUCAGCCUACAAUAGUUUACACUGUCUAAAUAUGACUGUGUUUCACAGAAAUCAACCUAUUAUAGUCGUCGUCACGUAAAAUUGGCACCAUGUUUUUUGUCCAAAAAAAAUAUCAGCCACAUUUAUUCAAGAUGAUGUAGGACAGUAGUGGAUAUUUGGACAGGAUUUUUCUUCCGCUAAUUGAAAAACAUGAUCUUUAGUAAACGUGUUCGAUAUUUAAGAAAAUUUUGACAAAAAACAUGGUGUCAAUUUUACCUGAUGGCGACUAUACAAAUAAAUAUCAAUACAUUUGUUAACCUAAUAUUGUUUGUGAAAUCUCAAUGAAAUGUUUUAAAACUUAGUUAAUAUUAGAAUUAUAAAAAUACAGACCGAAGGUUAUCUUUUAUGUUUAUUUGAUGUUCCAGAAUCAAUUAAAGUCUUGUAUAUGUACAUUUAUACCUACACUUGUAAAAUGUUCAUUUCUAUCGGACAAAACUCAUAUAUCUG